This is a long non-coding RNA of Cryptotermes secundus, 843 nucleotides long. RefSeq lists it as uncharacterized. NCBI's taxonomy places the organism in Eukaryota, Metazoa, Arthropoda, Insecta, Blattodea, Kalotermitidae. The transcript is spliced from 3 exons. The record is from RefSeq and is a predicted model, not a curated record.
CACUCCCACACCACAAAGAAACUUGGUAUUUUAUACGUUUAUAUUCAGAAUUACUGGAUUUUUGGACGGUGUUCAUCGUCCUGUAUUUUAAGCACAACACACAACGUUUUGGAAACUGGAACUGUUUCCGUUUUCAGUCAGCUGACCAUCUUCAGAAGGCAUAAGGAUCAACAUGUUAUGGGACUACUAUUACAAAUACGCCCAUCCCUGCGCAACGGCUAGAACGGGAACACAGUUCCGCGACAGCUGGUGUCAGAAGUGGGAUUCGAACCCACGUCCACAGAAGUGGACUUCCAAUGGCUUUGGCUUCCAAGUAAAUGGCCUUCCAAUAACGACCUCCUCCACUAUUUUGUCGUCUGCUAUGUAGCGUAUUUAUGCCCUUGUUCCCUGUGACGCUCCUGUGGGUGUGUACUUGUGUUUUAUCACAAUGUCAAACAUAACUAUUCUGGUCAUCGUUUUUUUCUUAUGCUCUUUUGUUCUUUUAUUUAUAAAUAUAGCAAUUUAAACAACUUAAUGAAUAAAUAAAAGAAAAAAUCAUAAAAGAAAACGAUGUCAAGUUAUGUUUGACAUUGUGAUAAAACACAAGUACACGCAUAGGAGUGUCACAGGGAACAAGGGCAUAAAUACGCUACACAACACGCGAAAAUAUACUGGGGGAGGUCAUUAUUGGAAGGCCAUUUACUACUGAGUUUGUAUCGUGGAUUGGUUAGUAGGCACUGAGGUUGGAGAUUAACAAAUUUUGAGUCAGUGUUCUUUAGCGUGAUUCAGUGCCCACUCAUUUGUUGGACAAGAUCAGUGGUGUGCCGUGCAUGGAAGCAAGGGAAGCAUUGCUUCCGUAUUUAA